Molecule: long non-coding RNA, 1839 nt
Organism: Lepisosteus oculatus (spotted gar)
Lineage: Eukaryota; Metazoa; Chordata; Actinopteri; Semionotiformes; Lepisosteidae
Source: RefSeq, a predicted model, not a curated record
GAGCUGAGUGUCAUUGAUGUAACAGUUUUGUUCCUGAAUAUAAAGCUGUCCAGUCGCACUACUGUAAUAAUGUCCAGCUUUGGAAAAGAACAGAAUGCUCAAUUUUUCUGUCAACAGCAUGCAAAAGGUUACAGAGCCCUGCCUCACCCCUGGUUUAAAUGGAAGCUUACCUGUCCAUCAAGAGGAGACAGGGGGUGGAGCUUCUGAAUAUUAAACCUGGCCCUCAGUCACUGUGCUGUGACUGCCCCCGGACAGACUCCCCAGAGGUCUGGUCCCACGGCCCUUUGCUCUUGCCCAGCCUUGAUGAUCAUGUGCUGGCCCACUGGUCUCCGAGCCCUAGACGCCGCUCCUCAUCCUAGAUCUGUGCAUAGGCAUUCAGUGUUUCAAACGUUCAGCCUGGCAAGUGGGGCAUCCGUGUCCAUGACAUGACUCCUGUUCACAUCUCAAUAGAAAGUCGCUGUAUUAAAGUUGAUCACAAAACAAAAUGAAAGUCACUGUUAAACAAAGAGCACAAGCAAGUGCAUUGUCCUAAGAGAGGGCCAGCAAGUAAGGCUGAUGGACCUGAUCUAUGAAGUUCUGUGCAUUUAGAUUGACAUCAGUCGCUACACAUGUGGUGUCCUAUAGUUACUAGACAAUUCUUCGCAAACCUUCACACUUGGAUGAUGAUUUGUCGAGCUUGGAGAUGUGUCAUAACUAGUGAUCUCCCAGUACGCGGUCUGUCGUUCACAGACUGUGGUUUGGCAAUAACAUCUUGCCAGGUUAAACAUUGCUGGAUGUGAACAUCCCAGACAGGGCGACAUCCAAGAUAGUGAUGAUGCCAUUGACAAAUUGGUUUUUUGAGCUGCAGGGCGUAUUGCUUCUUUUUUGUAUUUAUUUUUCACUUUCACCACUCUACACAUUCAACAGGUUAAAUGUGCCCAAUCACCUUUCACACUAAUGAGGUGAUUUAGCACUGAUGCGACAAAGACACUUAAGAGUAUCACAGUCACUCAUGAAUGAUCAGUCAAAAUGUCACUAAAAUGAUUUAAUCAAUAUUCAAAAUCCAUAUACUUUAAUAUUCUAAAAACACACAUGGAUGAAUCAGUAAUAAAUUCCUUCUGAUGCUCAUUAUAUACACAUUGAAAUAUACUAUCCAUGCUUCUAACACGUAUGCUUAUAACACAUGUGAGUAUUUCGAUUGUGUGUGAAUAUAUAUAUUUUCCUAUCAAAUACUGUAGGAAAUAUUCAUUUAUUUGAACUACAGUGAAGAGUUGGAAGGCACAAUACAAUUUCUUUAUCGUGCUUUCCAGUACAACACUGUUAAUCCAAGGAACUGACAAAAUCACAAACCAACAAUUUGAACUGAUAAUUUGAAACUACAGAAGUAGUAGUUCUCAAAAUCUCUGUCAUAAUAAUUCUCUACUAACAAUUCCAGCAAUUUGUUCCAGCGAUAGCUUGGCAGUUGUUCUGUAUUAAAGAGGAUUUACUAUUAAUUGGAGAACAGGCCAUAUGAAAUAUAAUCUUCCGAGGAUGACAACUCUGCAGUUUACCUGAUUAAUGUACAAAGCCUCUUUGGGCUUCUGUCAUGUACUUCUAUUAAUUUAUCCUGCUAUACAAAGUUCAAACCCCCAAAUUUGUCUCUUGUCUUCAUAAUAAAUGCACUGUAAAGAGCACCAGAACCAGGAACAUCAAAACCAGGUCCUGUGGUUCCCCCACAUUUGAAAGUGGGGACUUCGGGCCCCCUCACAUCCUGUGGCAGAAAAAAAAGGUGGUGGCAGUUUGCAGCUCUGUCAGACAUAAAUAGAAGCUUUUCUUUCCUUGGCUGCAGAAAUAAAGUGAGGCCUGUCCAGUCUUGCCCGC